RNAcentral lists this ribosomal RNA (493 nucleotides) under uncultured bacterium. RNAcentral's name for it is "bacterial SSU rRNA". It matches the Rfam family "Bacterial small subunit ribosomal RNA", at positions 903 to 1397 of the family's 1533-position model. The record is from RNAcentral.
AAAUGAAUUGACGGGGGCCCGCACAAGCAGCGGAGCAUGUGGUUUAAUUCGAAGCAACGCGAAGAACCUUACCAGAACUUGACAUCCCCUGCAUAAUCCGUAAUGGGAUGAAGUCCUUCGGGACAGGGAGACAGGUGGUGCAUGGUUGUCGUCAGCUCGUGUCGUGAGAUGUUGGGUUAAGUCCCGCAACGAGCGCAACCCCUAUACAUUAGUUGCUACCAUUAAGUUGAGCACUCUAAUUAGACUGCCGGAGACAAUUCGGAGGAAGGUGGGGAUGACGUCAAAUCAUCAUGCCCCUUAUGUUCUGGGCUACACACGUGCUACAAUGGGUAAAACAACGGGAAGCGAGAUAGUGAUAUCAAGCCAAUCCCUAAAAACUACUCUCAGUUCGGAUUGUAGGCUGCAACUCGCCUACAUGAAGCCGGAGUUGCUAGUAAUCGCGGAUCAGAAUGUCGCGGUGAAUACGUUCCCGGGCCUUGUACACACCGCCCGU